GGGGAAUAUUGCGCAAUGGGGGGAACCCUGACGCAGCAACGCCGCGUGAGCGAUGAAGGCCUUCGGGUCGUAAAGCUCUGUCUUAAGGGAUGAUAAUGACAGUACCUUAAGAGGAAGCCCCGGCUAACUACGUGCCAGCAGCCGCGGUAAUACGUAGGGGGCGAGCGUUGUCCGGAAUUACUGGGUGUAAAGGGCCCGUAGGCGGUUAUUUAAGUCAGCUGUGAAAGUCCAGGGCUUAACCCUGGAAUUGCAAUUGAAACUGAAUAACUUGAGAUAAGGAGAGGAGAGCGGAAUUCCUAGUGUAGCGGUGAAAUGCGUAGAUAUUAGGAAGAACACCAGUGGCGAAGGCGGCUCUCUGGCCUUACCCUGACGCUGAGGGGCGAAAGCGUGGGUAGCGAAC
RNAcentral lists this ribosomal RNA (400 nucleotides) under uncultured bacterium. Its description in RNAcentral is "bacterial SSU rRNA". It matches the Rfam family "Bacterial small subunit ribosomal RNA", at positions 356 to 773 of the family's 1533-position model. The record is from RNAcentral.